Capsicum annuum is the source of this 450-nucleotide long non-coding RNA. RefSeq lists it as uncharacterized. Lineage: Eukaryota; Viridiplantae; Streptophyta; Magnoliopsida; Solanales; Solanaceae. The record is from RefSeq and is a predicted model, not a curated record. The transcript is spliced from 3 exons.
AUCACCACAAAAAUGCAGUGAAAGACCUCUCUAGAAUACAAACAUUUCUACACUUGAAUUGUAUAAAUAAGAGCUCCCUUCUACUUAUAGUCAACUAUUUAUUCAAUCAAUCGUCCUCAACAAGCCUCAUAGUUUCCUCUUUAAGGUGAUAACUAACUGAACGUCCGUGCCGACAUUACAUUGUGUGAUUGCUUGAACAUGGCCGAAAGAUUUUCAAUCAAUAUGAUCACACCUACAACUCAAGAUUGGACAUGUAAGGCUCAAGUGGUUGACAAAUGCCGACCAAGGGACAACAUAUAUGGAAACAAAAAGUAUCAACUCUUGAUACUUCAAGAUGAAGAAGCCCUUUUACCAUUCCUACGAUUUCAUGUUAAAUAUUGAUGAGGGAUACUUAAAUAUGAUAGAUGUGUGUUCCUUGUAGUUUUUCUAUUAUUCCAACAGUUACACUUG